RNAcentral lists this transfer RNA (74 nucleotides) under Candidatus Sumerlaeota bacterium. Its description in RNAcentral is "tRNA-His". It matches the Rfam family "tRNA". From Rfam's summary of the family: Transfer RNA (tRNA) molecules are approximately 80 nucleotides in length. Their secondary structure includes four short double-helical elements and three loops (D, anti-codon, and T loops). Further hydrogen bonds mediate the characteristic L-shaped molecular structure. tRNAs have two regions of fundamental functional importance: the anti-codon, which is responsible for specific mRNA codon recognition, and the 3' end, to which the tRNAs corresponding amino acid is attached (by aminoacyl-tRNA synthetases). tRNAs cope with the degeneracy of the genetic code in two manners: having more than one tRNA (with a specific anti-codon) for a particular amino acid; and 'wobble' base-pairing, i.e. permitting non-standard base-pairing at the 3rd anti-codon position. Lineage: Bacteria; Candidatus Sumerlaeota. The record is from RNAcentral.
GCACACGAGCUCAAUUGGGAGAGCGUCAGACUAUGGUUCUGAAGGUUGGGGGUUCGAGUCCCCCGUAUGCGCCA